This 332-nucleotide ribosomal RNA is filed under the name uncultured bacterium. Its description in RNAcentral is "bacterial SSU rRNA". It matches the Rfam family "Bacterial small subunit ribosomal RNA", at positions 568 to 898 of the family's 1533-position model. The record is from RNAcentral.
CAUGCAGGCGGUCGGACGCGUUUUGUGUGACAGCGCAUGGCUUAACUAAGCGAGCAUACGAAAGACGGUUUGACUUGAGGGCUCGAGAGGGACACGGAAUUCCGGGUGGAGUGGUGAAAUGCGUAGAGAUCCGGAGGAACACCGAAGGCGAAGGCAGUGUCCUGGCGAGCGACUGACGCUGAGGUGCGAAAGCCAGGGGAGCGAACGGGAUUAGAUACCCCGGUAGUCCUGGCCGUAAACGAUGACCACCAGGUGUGGGAGGUAUCGACCCCUUCCGUGCCGGAGGCAACCCACUGAGUGGUCCGCCUGGGGAGUACGGUCGCAAGAUUAAA